UGCAAGUCGAACGGUAACAUGAGAGCUUGCUCUUGAUGACGAGUGGCGAACGGGUGCGUAACACGUAUGCAACUUGCCCCUAACAAAGGAGUAGCCCAGAGAAAUCUGGAUUAAUACCUGAUAAUAUCAUUUUUUCGCAUGAUUAGAUGAUUAAAACUUCGGUGGUUAGAGAUAGGCAUGCGCCCCAUUAGUUAGUUGGUAAGGUAACGGCUUACCAAGACAGCGAUGGGUAGGGGGUCUGAGAGGAUGAUCCCCCACACUGGUACUGAGACACGGACCAGACUCCUACGGGAGGCAGCAGUGAGGAAUAUUGGGCAAUGGACGAAAGUCUGACCCAGCCAUGCCGCGUGCAGGAAGAAUGCCCUAUGGGUUGUAAACUGCUUUUAUAUACCAAGAAACGCAGGUACGUGUACCUGUCUGACGGUAGUAUAUGAAUAAGCACCGGCUAACUCCGUGCCAGCAGCCGCGGUAAUACGGAGGGUGCAAGCGUUAUCCGGAUUUAUUGGGUUUAAAGGGUUCGUAGGCGGGACUUUAAGUCAGUGGUGAAAGCCUAUAGCUCAACUAUAGAAUUGCCAUUGAUACUGAAGUUCUUGAGUACACUUGAAGUUAGCGGAAUGUAUCAUGUAGCGGUGAAAUGCAUAGAUAUGAUACAGAACACCGAUUGCGAAGGCAGCUAACUAAAUUGUCACUGACGCUGAGGAACGAAAGCGUGGGGAGCGAACAGGAUUAGAUACCCUGGUAGUCCACGCUGUAAACGAUGAUCACUCGAUAUUGGGCCUUUAUGGUCAGUGUCCAAGCGAAAGUAUUAAGUGAUCCACCUGGGGAGUACGACCGCAAGGUUGAAACUCAAAGGAAUUGACGGGGGCCCGCACAAGCGGUGGAGCAUGUGGUUUAAUUCGAUGAUACGCGAGGAACCUUACCAGGGUUUAAAUGCAGAACGAUCGGGGUGGAAACACCCUUUCCUUCGGGCGAUCUGCAAGGUGCUGCAUGGUUGUCGUCAGCUCGUGCCGUGAGGUGUCGGGUUAAGUCCCAUAACGAGCGCAACCCCUAUUCUUAGUUGCCAGCGAGUAAUGUCGGGGACUCUAAGAAAACUGCCUGCGUAAGCAGUGAGGAAGGUGGGGAUGACGUCAAAUCAUCACGGCCCUUACGUCCUGGGCCACACACGUGCUACAAUGGCAAGUACAGAGGGCAGCUACCUGGUGACAGGAUGCUAAUCUCUAAACUAUAUCUCAGUUCGGAUUGAAGUCUGCAACUCGACUUCAUGAAGCUGGAAUCGCUAGUAAUCGCGCAUCAGCCAUGGCGCGGUGAAUACGUUCCCGGGCCUUGUACACACCGCCCGUCAAGCCAUGGAAUCUGGGAGUGCCUGAAGUCGGUAACCGUAAGGAGCUGC
Molecule: ribosomal RNA, 1390 nt
Filed under: uncultured prokaryote
Description: partial 16S ribosomal RNA
Rfam family: Bacterial small subunit ribosomal RNA
Source: RNAcentral